AUAACAUUUAACAGUUUGAAAUUGUAGAAAAGAACCAUAUGGAAAUCUGGAGUUGUAAAGUAUAAUAACAAAAAUUACAAUUCAUUAGAGAGGUUUAGUACUAGAUUUUAACUGGUAGAAUAAACAAUCAUUGAAUUUGAAGAUAGACUGAUAGAAAUCAUCCAGUUUAAAAAGUACAGAAUAAAGAAGUAAGUAAAAUGCAGUUUCAGAGAAAUGCCAGAAGCCAUUGAGAAUACCAACAUAUGUGCAGUGGUAGUGCCAGAACAUGAGGAUAACAAGCUGAGAGAAAAAAUAUUUAAAGAAAUAAUACCUGAAAAUUUUCUAUAUUAUGAAAAAAAUUAAACAUCCAAGAAGUGUAAAGAAUUCCAAGUAUAAUAAUUGCAAAUAUAUUCCCUCUUAGAUACAUCAAAGUAAAAUGAAAGUAAAAAAAAAAUCUUGAAAGCAUGAAGAGAAUAAUGGCUGAUGUACAAGGAAACUCUAAUAAUACAAUAAUAAUUAAGGCCACAGUGGAGGUGUAUGACAUAUUAAUAGUGUAGAAGAAGUAAAUUCAAAAUUUUACCUGAAGCACGACUGACAUUCUUAAAUCAAGGUAAAGACAUUGCUAGAUAAACAAAAACUGGGAAUGUGUUCUUAGCAGACCCACCUUGUAAGAAAAGCUAAUUUUUGAGAAUGAAGAAUGCUGACCCCAAACUGUAAUUGAAAUUCCUAUGAAAAAUCAGAGUACCAGUCAUAAUUAUGUAAUAAUUAUAGAGGCUAGUAUAAAUGCAUAUUUUUUAUGUAUUAGCUGGCAUAUAUGCCUAUACACUGUAUACUUAUAAAUAUUCAUAUAUGUGUAUUGUGUGCAGUAUUUCCAUAUUUGUAUUUGUGAGCUUACAACAUAUAGAAAUGAGAUCUAUUUAAUAAUAUCACAAAGGAUGUGGUUGAGAACAAAACUGUUGUAAUAACGAAAUGAUUCUUUUUUUUUUUUUUUUUUUUUGAGACAGAGUUU
Nomascus leucogenys (northern white-cheeked gibbon) is the source of this 988-nucleotide long non-coding RNA. RefSeq lists it as uncharacterized. The record is from RefSeq and is a predicted model, not a curated record. NCBI's taxonomy places the organism in Eukaryota, Metazoa, Chordata, Mammalia, Primates, Hylobatidae. The transcript is spliced from 3 exons.